This 283-nucleotide ribosomal RNA is filed under the name uncultured bacterium. Its description in RNAcentral is "partial 16S ribosomal RNA". It matches the Rfam family "Bacterial small subunit ribosomal RNA", at positions 30 to 319 of the family's 1533-position model. The record is from RNAcentral.
AUUGAACGCUGGCGGCAUGCCUUACACAUGCAAGUCGAACGGUAACAGGUUAAGCUGACGAGUGGCGAACGGGUGAGUAAUAUAUCGGAACGUGCCCAGUAGUGGGGGAUAGCCCGGCGAAAGCCGGAUUAAUACCGCAUACGACCUACGGGUGAAAGGGGGGAGUCGCAAGACCUCUCGCUAUUGGAGCGGCCGAUAUCAGAUUAGCUAGUUGGUGGGGUAAAGGACUCACCAAGGCGACGAUCUGUAGCUGGUCUGAGAGGACGACCAGCCACACUGGGAC